This 404-nucleotide ribosomal RNA is filed under the name uncultured bacterium. RNAcentral's name for it is "partial 16S ribosomal RNA". It matches the Rfam family "Bacterial small subunit ribosomal RNA", at positions 28 to 526 of the family's 1533-position model. The record is from RNAcentral.
GACGAACGCUGGCGGCGUGCCUAAUACAUGCAAGUCGAACGCAGUGGGGACGGGUGAGUAACACGUGGGUAACCUCUCCAUCAGAGGGGAUAACACGUGGAAACAGGGGCUAAAUCGAAAUUGAUGGAUGGAUUCGCGGUGCAUUAGGUAGUUGGUGAGGUAACGGCUCACCAAGGCCACGAUGCAUAACCGACCUGAGAGGGGGAUCGGCCACACUGGGACGGAGACACGGCCCAGACUCCUACGGGAGGCAGCAGUAGGGAAUCUUCCGCAAUGGACGAAAGCCUGACCGAGCAACGCCGCGUGAGUGAAGAAGGUUUUCGGAUCGUAAAACUCUGUUAUUAGAGAAGCGGUAUCUAACCAGAAAGCCACGGCUAACUACGUGCCAGCAGCCGCGGUAAUUC